RNAcentral lists this ribosomal RNA (221 nucleotides) under uncultured bacterium. RNAcentral's name for it is "partial 16S ribosomal RNA". It matches the Rfam family "Bacterial small subunit ribosomal RNA", at positions 328 to 539 of the family's 1533-position model. The record is from RNAcentral.
ACGCUCGACACCUACGGGGGCAGCAGUAGGGAAUCUUCCACAAUGGACGCAAGUCUGAUGGAGCAACGCCGCGUGAGUGAAGAAGGUUUUCGGAUCGUAAAGCUCUGUUGUUGGUGAAGAAGGAUAGAGGUAGUAACUGGCCUUUAUUUGACGGUAAUCAACCAGAAAGUCACGGCUAACUACGUGCCGCAGCCGCGGUAAUCUGAGCGGGCUGGCAAGGC